This is a long non-coding RNA of Phodopus roborovskii (desert hamster), 628 nucleotides long. RefSeq lists it as uncharacterized. Lineage: Eukaryota; Metazoa; Chordata; Mammalia; Rodentia; Cricetidae. The transcript is spliced from 2 exons. The record is from RefSeq and is a predicted model, not a curated record.
UCCUGCCUGCUCCACCUUCACGGUGUUGGUCAACAGUAAACUCAACUGACUUUUCAUGGGGACGAUUGCACACCUCCCAGGAAGCCAACAAACAGGCUGCAUUUCCCUUCUCUGACUUCAGUCUGCUAGAAUUGGUAAGGCUUCUGAUGCAGCUGCUAUCUGCAGACCUCCUGGACUGCCCAAGGAAGGGAGUGGGAGCUCCUGCUCCAGAUGGAUGGAAUAGCUACAAGAAGGAUUGAAGGUGGCCAAAAAUAACAGUGCCUUCCAGAUGAGGUGACCUCAGAGCCAAGAGCAUCAUGGGGUAGAGUAUCUUGUUCCUAGUUUUAUGACCUAAAAAGUACACAGAAGAUUCUAAGAUACUACAGAGGGAAGGAAUAAAGUAUUCAGAGAACAAGGAAAUGUGAUUAAUUAUUUUUUUAAUUGAAUUUCUUGUCCACACAUGUACACAUAUAUAAACACAAGCCUUAUAUAUGUAUGAAAAGAGAACCUAGAUCUCUAGUUUGAUAGACAGAUAGACAAAUAGAUAUCACAAAAUACAGUGGAAGACCAAAAUGAAGAUGAUAAAGACAAUGUUGCCUUCCUUUGUUUGCUGUGGAAAUAAGUUUAAUAAACCUUCAUUGAGAACCAA